CUGCAGCAGGCUCACUUGGCAGCGUUUUAGAUUAGCUGAAGCAUCUUCGAUAAAUUGGCUGUCUUCGGCUGUCAGUUUAUUAGCAGCUUAUCAGCUUAGUUGUCAAGAUGGGUGGCUGUUGGUCAUGUGUGGCCUGCAGGUCUCACCCAGAAGCAGAACCAAAGGAUGAAGAUGAAGAGGGGGCACUGACAGGUCAUCCCAGAAACCCAACCCAUGUUGUACCAUUUUCUGGGGGACUCCCCAAUGUUUUGGAGGACACUCUGGGGAAAGAGCUCACUGAGGAACCCUCCGUGCCAGAACCUCUUCCAGCACCUUGUAUCACCAACAACAUCCUGGUGGAAGAGCUCACUGAGGAACCCUCCGUGCCAGAACCUCUUCCAGCACCUCACAUGACCAAAGACAUCCUGGAGGAAGAGCUCACUGAGGAACCCUCCGAGCCAGAACCUCUUCUAGCACCUCACAUGACCAAAGACAUCCUGGAGGAAGAGCUCACUGAGGAACCCUCCGUGCCAGAAGUUCGGCUGCAGCGGUGGGAAAGGGAAGGUAUGUUCACAGCAUGCCCCUGAAAUUGCUGCUGGGCUAAGAACAGCUCUUUUGCUCUGUUUAUUUCAUGUUGAAAUGCUUGAUUUGAGUCUGCAUCUAAGAUUUCAGAGGGGAGGCCUGUGAGUGGCUUGUCAGUGCUUGCUGAAGUGUUCCUUCGUUUUCUGUCUUUCAUGUGUCCAAGCUCCUGUGCCUGUAAUCCAAGCAGCUUCUCAGAGUGAGCAGUGAGGGCAAGUGAUGGUGGGUGUGGUAGGAUGUCAGCCUUUGCAGCUGACCUCCUGCUUCUUCUUCUCUCUUGCAGAUGUUCCUGCAGACCCUGCUGCACUUCUCCAGCCCUCUGGGUCUGAGUCAUCAUUGUCCUCUGCCUCCCAUGAGGUUGCCUCCAUCCCACCCUCUACCUCCACCUCUUCCCUCCUCCUGCAUCCCUCUCCACCUCCUCCUUCUUCUCCACCUCUUCUGGAGCCGGACCUCAGCAAUGUAAAAGAAACUCUGCAGAGUUUGGUAGAGAUCCAGGUCCUCUGCCAAAGAGACCUCCGUAGCUGCCAGGAAUGUGUACAAAGCUUCAAGGCACUGAGGGGACAACUGAGGUGGCUAAGGAGCAGACUGGCCAGGGUGGAAGCCACUAUGGGGAUCGUGGUUCCUCCAAGGGAGCUGUACAUUGCUGAGGAAGAAGGGGAAGGCAAAUUAAAAGAGACAACUGUGCUACUAUUUACAUAAGUAGCAAUAAAAUGCUAUGUAUAUAUUUUUAAAAUAUUAAAUAUUUGUUUUAAUAGGAUGUAGAGAUAGAACAGCAAUAAAACUAGCAUAUUUAUUGUUUAAAAAAAUAAAAUGUUUUAUUUUAA
Molecule: RNA transcript, 1382 nt
Organism: Hemicordylus capensis (graceful crag lizard)
Lineage: Eukaryota; Metazoa; Chordata; Lepidosauria; Squamata; Cordylidae
Gene name: drebrin-like
Exons: 5
Source: RefSeq, a predicted model, not a curated record